AAUUUACCCAAGGAUCUAAUCCAGUUCAAUAAGAUGAGCUAUUGGAAAGCUGGUGCCAUGGUGAACUUAAUAAUAGGUACCGAGGUUGGAUUUUGAUGUGAAAAGGAAACAUAAGGUUCAGUGGUUUGAUAGCGUUUUGAUGUUGUUGG
Molecule: non-coding RNA, 149 nt
Organism: Nelumbo nucifera (sacred lotus)
Lineage: Eukaryota; Viridiplantae; Streptophyta; Magnoliopsida; Proteales; Nelumbonaceae
Source: RefSeq, a predicted model, not a curated record